This 245-nucleotide ribosomal RNA is filed under the name uncultured bacterium. RNAcentral describes it as "partial 16S ribosomal RNA". It matches the Rfam family "Bacterial small subunit ribosomal RNA", at positions 524 to 768 of the family's 1533-position model. The record is from RNAcentral.
UACGUAGGGGGCGAGCGUUGUCCGGAAUUAUUGGGCGUAAAGGGUCCGUAGGCGGUCGUGCAAGUUUGGGGUGACAGUGCUCAGCUUAACUGAGCAAGUGCUUCAAAAACUGCGCGACUUGAGGGCUUCAGAGGGAUGCGGAACUCCGGGUGGAGUGGUGAAAUGCGUAGAUAUCCGGAAGAACACCAAAGGCGAAGGCAGCAUCCUGGGAAGUACCUGACGCUCAGGGACGAAAGCUAGGGGAG